This is a long non-coding RNA of Cyprinus carpio carpio, 514 nucleotides long. NCBI's taxonomy places the organism in Eukaryota, Metazoa, Chordata, Actinopteri, Cypriniformes, Cyprinidae. The record is from Ensembl.
GAGUUUGGGCACCCCUGCUUUAGAUGUAAUGUGAUAAACUACUUUAAUAUGCAGUGGUGGUCAAGUGACGGGGCGACAGAACACUUUCAUUCACCUCUUAAAAUGUUUGGUGUUUGAAUGUUAACCCAUGCGAAACCAGGGGUAAUGUACUGUAGGAGGUCAUUUUGUUCCAUGUUUCACUGCUGCUCGGUUAAUAAUAUUCAGUGGAUGAAUAUGGCUCCAUAGGCUAUCUGACUGGCAUAGCCUAUGUGACCUGUUUUAAUAACUGCAGGUCUGUUUGAAAAUAUCGCCAAUUUUGAAUGCUAAACAGGGCGAAUGUUUCCACAGCUGUAGAUGGCAUGGAUAUUUACUGAGUGCAGGAGACACAAGGACAUAAUGUGUUUGUGAUGCAGCUGUGUAGGCUGGAUGUUUAAAAUGGGAGCCUUGUACUUUGCAUAACAAACCGUUCACCUCCUGUGACAUACAUAAACACAGGCAUUCCUUAUAAGAAACCUCAAAACAUCAAAUGUCUAAA